Molecule: transfer RNA, 94 nt
Filed under: Candidatus Thorarchaeota archaeon
Lineage: Archaea; Promethearchaeati; Candidatus Thorarchaeota
Description: tRNA-Ser
Rfam family: tRNA
About the family: Transfer RNA (tRNA) molecules are approximately 80 nucleotides in length. Their secondary structure includes four short double-helical elements and three loops (D, anti-codon, and T loops).
Source: RNAcentral
GGAAGCGUGCGCGAGUCGGCUUAUGCGGAGAGUUUGCUAAACUCUUGAUCCGGUAACCCCGGAUCCGUGGGUUCGAAUCCCACCGCUUCCGCCA